CUAGCCCAGUAGUCACCACUUUUUGUGCUGACAUGAAUUGUCAUUGAUAUGAGAGUCUAAACAGAACAUAUAAAAGGAUGCAAUCAGAACAGUCAAAAGAGUCUAAACAGAACAUAUAAAAGGAUGUAAACAGAACAGUCAAAAGAGUAUAAACAGAAUAUCCAAAAAGAUAGAAAAAGAACAGUCAAAAGAUCCAAACAGAACAUCUAAAGGAUGUAAAAAAAACAGUCAAAAAGGUCUUACCAGAAUGUCUAA
RNAcentral lists this long non-coding RNA (255 nucleotides) under Mytilus galloprovincialis (Mediterranean mussel). The record is from RNAcentral. Lineage: Eukaryota; Metazoa; Mollusca; Bivalvia; Mytilida; Mytilidae.